RNAcentral lists this ribosomal RNA (378 nucleotides) under Papurana jimiensis. RNAcentral's name for it is "partial 12S ribosomal RNA". It matches the Rfam family "Bacterial small subunit ribosomal RNA", at positions 793 to 1384 of the family's 1533-position model. Lineage: Eukaryota; Metazoa; Chordata; Amphibia; Anura; Ranidae. The record is from RNAcentral.
UGCCUAGCCGUAAACAAUUAACUUACACCAAUCAGCGCCAGGGGAUUACGAGCAAUGCUUAAAACCCAAAGGAUUUGACGGUGUCCCACCCCACCUAGAGGAGCCUGUUUUUUAAUCGAUAAUCCCCGAUACACCCGACCACUCCUAGCUAAUCAGUCUGUAUACCUCCGUCGAAAGCUUACCAUGUGAACGUUUACAGUAGGCCUAAUGAUCCCCAUCAAUACGUCAGGUCAAGGUGCAGCUCACGGAAUGGGAAGUAAUGGGCUACAAUUUCUAAAAUAGAACAAACGAAAGACUAUGUGAAACCAUAGUAGCGAAGGCGGAUUUAGUAGUAAAAAGAAAAUAGAGAGUUCUUUUUAACUUGGCUCUGGGACGCGU